GUUGAAAAAGAAAAAAUCACUACUGAAACAUUUGCAUCAACUUUCAAGUUGGCAGCCAAGUAAUAUUAGUGUGGAUUUUGGACGUUUUCUCAUUAUAUAUAAGUUGGAUUGAGGUAAAUUCUUUUGAAGCACAUAGAAGACUUAUAGUGGUAUUUGUGUUCAAAAAUUUGUUAUAAGUGGAUGAUUAGAUUAGGAGCUACAACUUGCUAAAGUUUACUGAAUAGAAUUAAGGUUAUAGAGAAAAUUCAAAAUUAUCUAAUUAUGAAAGUAACAAGGCAAUUGGAGUUUAUAUAUGGUUUA
This 300-nucleotide long non-coding RNA is filed under the name Physcomitrium patens. Its description in RNAcentral is "long non-coding RNA (PPAT_LNC006991)". The record is from RNAcentral. Lineage: Eukaryota; Viridiplantae; Streptophyta; Bryopsida; Funariales; Funariaceae.